RNAcentral lists this ribosomal RNA (660 nucleotides) under Lactobacillus delbrueckii subsp. bulgaricus. RNAcentral's name for it is "bacterial SSU rRNA". It matches the Rfam family "Bacterial small subunit ribosomal RNA", at positions 104 to 750 of the family's 1533-position model. The record is from RNAcentral. Lineage: Bacteria; Bacillati; Bacillota; Bacilli; Lactobacillales; Lactobacillaceae.
GGGUGAGUAACACGUGGGCAAUCUGCCCUAAAGACUGGGAUACCACUUGGAAACAGGUGCUAAUACCGGAUAACAACAUGAAUCGCAUGAUUCAAGUUUGAAAGGCGGCGCAAGCUGUCACUUUAGGAUGAGCCCGCGGCGCAUUAGCUAGUUGGUGGGGUAAAGGCCUACCAAGGCAAUGAUGCGUAGCCGAGUUGAGAGACUGAUCGGCCACAUUGGGACUGAGACACGGCCCAAACUCCUACGGGAGGCAGCAGUAGGGAAUCUUCCACAAUGGACGCAAGUCUGAUGGAGCAACGCCGCGUGAGUGAAGAAGGUCUUCGGAUCGUAAAGCUCUGUUGUUGGUGAAGAAGGAUAGAGGCAGUAACUGGUCUUUAUUUGACGGUAAUCAACCAGAAAGUCACGGCUAACUACGUGCCAGCAGCCGCGGUAAUACGUAGGUGGCAAGCGUUGUCCGGAUUUAUUGGGCGUAAAGCGAGCGCAGGCGGAAUGAUAAGUCUGAUGUGAAAGCCCACGGCUCAACCGUGGAACUGCAUCGGAAACUGUCAUUCUUGAGUGCAGAAGAGGAGAGUGGAACUCCAUGUGUAGCGGUGGAAUGCGUAGAUAUAUGGAAGAACACCAGUGGCGAAGGCGGCUCUCUGGUCUGCAACUGACGCUGAG